Molecule: ribosomal RNA, 253 nt
Filed under: uncultured bacterium
Lineage: Bacteria
Description: partial 16S ribosomal RNA
Rfam family: Bacterial small subunit ribosomal RNA
Source: RNAcentral
UACGUAGGGGGCAAGCGUUGUCCGGAAUUACUGGGCGUAAAGCGUGCGUAGGCGGUUUGUUAAGUCUGUCGUGAAAGCCCCGGGCUCAACCUGGGAAUGGCGAUGGAUACUGGCGAGCUAGAGUACGGUAGAGGAGAGUGGAAUUCCCGGUGUAGCAGUGAAAUGCGUAGAGAUCGGGAGGAACAUCAGUUGCGAAGGCGGCUCUCUGGACCAGUACUGACGCUGAGGCACGAAAGCGUGGGGAGCAAACAGG